GUUUGGAAAAGGUUCAGGCGGAUCUGUUCGAAAGGCAUGUCUGUGGAGGUUUGAAGAUGAACAUUCUUCAGUAUGCAAUGGUGAUGUUCUGGUGCAACUAUUCGAAAGAGGAUUCAUGGAUGGGUAGAUCACUAUUUGUGCUUGGGAGGCAUCUACUUCUGUGCAGGGAAGAUGUAAUCCUGCUUGGUUCCCUUUCUGAGAGUGCAUCUUGCUCCUCCUAUUUCUCGUUGGACUGUUGUUGUUCCAUUGUCAGCGUGUCAGAAGUGGUAAUCGAAACCGCAGAUUGCUAUUGCGUGAGCCUGACUUUGGAAGGUGUCAUGUCAGAGUUCCCCCUUUCAUUGAAGGAGGGCAAGGUAGUCAAAAAUACUAAACUCAUGAAGAGAAAACCUGUGUCAGGUCCCCUGAAAUGGAAGCUAAAAUGGUUUUCAGAAGAAAGUCUCUUCAAAUUUGUGGCUUUAUUGAAAGCGUUACGUAGUGAAACAACCACAAGUGGCCUACUUGUAUACUGUCA
RNAcentral lists this unclassified non-coding RNA (511 nucleotides) under Hevea brasiliensis (rubber tree). Lineage: Eukaryota; Viridiplantae; Streptophyta; Magnoliopsida; Malpighiales; Euphorbiaceae. The record is from RNAcentral.